AGUGAACGCUGGCGGUAGGCCUAACACAUGCAAGUCGAACGGCAGCACAGAGGAGCUUGCUCCUUGGGUGGCGAGUGGCGGACGGGUGAGGAAUACAUCGGAAUCUACUCUGUCGUGGGGGAUAACGUAGGGAAACUUACACUAAUACCGCAUACGACCUACGGGUUAAAGCAGGGGAUCUUCGGACCUUGCGCGAUUGAAUGAGCAGAUGUCGGAUUAGCUAGUUGGCGGGGUAAAGGCCCACCAAGGCGACGAUCCGUAGCUGGUCUGAGAGGAUGAUCAGCCACACUGGAACUGAGACACGGUCCAGACUCCUACGGGAGGCAGCAGUGGGGAAUAUUGGACAAUGGGCGCAAGCCUGAUCCAGCCAUACCGCGUGGGUGAAGAAGGCCUUCGGGUUGUAAAGCCCUUUUGUUGGGAAAGAAAUCCAUCUGGUUAAUACCCGGGUGGGAUGACGGUACCCAAAGAAUAAGCACCGGCUAACUUCGUGCCAGCAGCCGCCGCUG
RNAcentral lists this ribosomal RNA (506 nucleotides) under uncultured bacterium. RNAcentral describes it as "partial 16S ribosomal RNA". It matches the Rfam family "Bacterial small subunit ribosomal RNA", at positions 29 to 523 of the family's 1533-position model. The record is from RNAcentral.